ACCUAUAUAGUAUAAAAAGUAUAUUUGACUUCCAAUCAUAAGGUCUAUAAAUUAUAGCAUAG
RNAcentral lists this transfer RNA (62 nucleotides) under Drosophila ornatipennis. RNAcentral's name for it is "tRNA-Gly". Lineage: Eukaryota; Metazoa; Arthropoda; Insecta; Diptera; Drosophilidae. The record is from RNAcentral.